Molecule: long non-coding RNA, 530 nt
Organism: Bactrocera neohumeralis
Lineage: Eukaryota; Metazoa; Arthropoda; Insecta; Diptera; Tephritidae
Exons: 2
Source: RefSeq, a predicted model, not a curated record
AUAAUUCAAAUAAUUUUUCAAACGUUAUAACUGAUUGACAGAUAAAUUUUCAUUAUUAUACGUAAACAACUACACACUUAUGAAGUGAAUUCAAACUUCUUAUCACUAAGCGGUCUACUCUUCGGUUAAACAAAUUUUGUAUAAAAGGUUGCACAAAAUCAGAAAGACCAUAUAGUUCAAAAGAAACGACUAAACCAAAAACUUCAAUAUGUUCAGUGCUAAAUACUUGAUCGUUGUAGCCUUGCUGGUAUUCUGCCUCUUCUGUCAAGAGGUUGUGGAGGCAAGCUUCCGCCACGAAUUGCACAAGGCCGCUCACAAGGUCGACAAGGUGGCUCACGCUGUUCAUAAGGCCCAGAAUGUGAUUGCGGCCGGUAGCGCUGUGGCUGGAGCUAUUGCCGGUGCCGCUGCUGCCUAGACUUGAUUUUUGACGACUGCUUACAUGGAAAACUGAACUUUAAACAACUUUAAUAUGUGCUUACUUUAUAGACUUAUGUAGACCAAAUAAAAAAAAAUAUUUUAGAUGCAUCAAA